This 301-nucleotide ribosomal RNA is filed under the name uncultured bacterium. Its description in RNAcentral is "partial 16S ribosomal RNA". It matches the Rfam family "Bacterial small subunit ribosomal RNA", at positions 509 to 807 of the family's 1533-position model. The record is from RNAcentral.
CAGCCGCCACGGUAAUACGUAGGUGGCAAGCGUUGUCCGGAAUUAUUGGGCGUAGAGGGCUCGCAGGCGGUUUCUUAAGUCUGAUGUGAAAGCCCCCGGCUCAACCGGGGAGGGUCAUUGGAAACUGGGAAACUUGAGUGCAGAAGAGGAGAGUGGAAUUCCACGUGUAGCGGUGAAAUGCGUAGAGAUGUGGAGGAACACCAGUGGCGAAGGCGACUCUCUGGUCUGUAACUGACGCUGAGGAGCGAAAGCGUGGGGAGCGAACAGGAUUAGAUACCCCAGUAGUCCCUGUCUCUUAUAC